Molecule: long non-coding RNA, 698 nt
Organism: Passer domesticus (house sparrow)
Lineage: Eukaryota; Metazoa; Chordata; Aves; Passeriformes; Passeridae
Exons: 3
Source: RefSeq, a predicted model, not a curated record
AGAUUUCCUUCAGAGUCUCACUUUGAGGUGUCCAGAUUAGCAUGAGAUCAUCAUAAUCUUCCAGCCUACAAAAAAGAGAUCAGCUGUAGUGGAGCACUCAUACAGGUCCCAACCUACAUGGAUUUUUACUUAAACAAGCAACAGAGACUCUUUCCCACGAGAGUGCUAUUCAUAGCCAGGGUCAAUCUAACUCUGAAUAAGAAAAUCCAGCAAUUUUACCAGAACAGCAGUAGAAUUCAUCAGUCACCCAUGCUGAGACUAUGGCACAAAGAAUUGAGCGGUGCAUCCAAAAGCAGCAGCGAAGAACCUGCGGCUGUGUUGGGCUGCCAGAAGGAACAACUGCAACAAACUGCAGGGGAAACCCUCUGGGCCGGGAGCAGGCGGCUACCUCGGCUACCACAGCAACACCCCAGGAAGAGUCGCGCUGGGCUGUCCCGACGAGCCCGUCCCGGCUCCGGGCGGUGACACCGGGGCUGGCGGAGCCCCGCGCGGUCUCUGCCGCCACCCGGCGGCCCCGCCAGGCACGGGCAGCGGCGCCUUCGCUUACUUAGGAUGCACAAAGCUCCUCAUCUUCCUGCUCGGGAACCGGGACCGGCCCGCGGGGCUCCCCACAAACGUGCUGCUGCAGGGAGAACUCCUGUUAUGUUCCAGGGUCCCACUGCUCACAUAGGGAAGUGCCUGUAUGCAAUACGUGUAAG